This 458-nucleotide ribosomal RNA is filed under the name uncultured bacterium. RNAcentral describes it as "SSU rRNA". It matches the Rfam family "Bacterial small subunit ribosomal RNA", at positions 26 to 518 of the family's 1533-position model. The record is from RNAcentral.
AGAAUCAACGCUGGCGGCGUGCCUAACACAUGCAAGUCGCACGAGAAAGGGACUUCGGUCUUGAGUAAAGUGGCGCACGGGUGAGUAACACGUGAAUUAUCUACCUCCGAAUGGGGAAUAACUGAGAGAAAUCUUAGCUAAUACCGCAUAAUACCUACGGGUCAAAGCAGCAAUGCGUUUGGAGAGGAGUUCGCGGUCGAUUAGUUAGUUGGCGGGGUAAUGGCCCACCAAGACGAUGAUCGAUAUCCGGCCUGAGAGGGCGCACGGACACACUGGAACUGAAACACGGUCCAGACUCCUACGGGAGGCAGCAGUGGGGAAUUUUGCGCAAUGGGGGAAACCCUGACGCAGCAACGCCGCGUGGAGGAUGAAAUAUCUUGGUAUGUAAACUCCUUUCGAUGGGGAAGAUAAUGACGGUACCAUAGAAGAAGCCCGGCUAACUUCGUGCCAGCAGCCGC